CCCUUGAUGGUCUAGUGGCUAGGAUUCAGCGCUCUCACCGCUGUGGCCCAUGUUCAAUUCUCGGUCAGGGAA
Non-coding RNA from Monopterus albus (swamp eel), 72 nucleotides. Lineage: Eukaryota; Metazoa; Chordata; Actinopteri; Synbranchiformes; Synbranchidae. The record is from the annotation of a RefSeq genome assembly.